GAUGAAGAACGUAGCGAAAUGCGAUAAGUAGUGUGAAUUGCAGAAUUCAGUGAAUCAUCGAAUCUUUGAACGCACAUUGCGCCCCUUGGUAUCCCGAGGGGCAUGCCUGUUCGAGCGUCAUUUCACCACUCAAGCCUGGCUUGGUGUUGGGCGACGUCCCCUUUGGGGACGCGCCUCGAAACGCUCGGCGGCGUGGCACCGGCUUUAAGCGUAGCAGAAUCUUUCGCUUUGGAAGUCGGGGCCCCGUCUGCCGGGAGACCUACUCGCAAGGUUGACCUCGGAUCAGGCAGGGAUACCCGCUGAACUUAAGCAUAUCAAUAAGCGGAGGA
Molecule: unclassified non-coding RNA, 329 nt
Filed under: soil metagenome
Description: partial contains 5.8S ribosomal RNA, internal transcribed spacer 2, and large subunit ribosomal RNA
Rfam family: 5.8S ribosomal RNA (bases 1-120)
Source: RNAcentral